UACUGAGUUUACGCUCUCAACCCUUUGUGAACAUACCUAUAACUGUUGCUUCGGCGGGUAGGGUCUCCGUGACCCUCCCGGCCUCCCGCCCCCGGGCGGGUCGGCGCCCGCCGGAGGAUAACCAAACUCUGAUUUAACGACGUUUCUUCUGAGUGGUACAAGCAAAUAAUCAAAACUUUUAACAACGGAUCUCUUGGUUCUGGCAUCGAUGAAGAACGCAGCGAAAUGCGAUAAGUAAUGUGAAUUGCAGAAUUCAGUGAAUCAUCGAAUCUUUGAACGCACAUUGCGCCCGCCAGCAUUCUGGCGGGCAUGCCUGUUCGAGCGUCAUUUCAACCCUCAAGCUCUGCUUGGUGUUGGGGCCCUACAGCUGAUGUAGGCCCUCAAAGGUAGUGGCGGACCCUCCCGGAGCCUCCUUUGCGUAGUAACUUUACGUCUCGCACUGGGAUCCGGAGGGACUCUUGCCGUAAAACCCCCAAUUUUCCAAAGGUUGACCUCGGAUCAGGUAGGAAUACCCGCUGAACUUAAGCAUAUCAAUAAGCGGAGGAAAAGAAACCAACAGGGAUUGCCUCAGUAACGGCGAGUGAAGCGGCAACAGCUCAAAUUUGAAAUCUGGCCCUAGGCCCGAGUUGUAAUUUGCAGAGGAUGCUUUUGGUGCGGUGCCUUCCAAGUUCCCUAGAACGGGACGCCAGAGAGGGUGAGAGCCCCGUACAGUUGGACACCAAGCCUUUGUAAAGCUCCUUCGACGAGUCGAGUAGUUUGGGAAUGCUGCUCAAAAUGGGAGGUAUAUUUCUUCUAAAGCUAAAUACCGGCCAGAGACCGAUAGCGCACAAGUAGAGUGAUCGAAAGAUGAAAAGCACUUUGAAAAGAGGGUUAAACAGCACGUGAAAUUGUUAAAAGGGAAGCGCUUGUGACCAGACUUGCGUCCGGUGAAUCACCCAGCUCUCGCGGCUGGGGCACUUCGCCGGCUCAGGCCAGCAUCAGCUCGCUGUCGGGGACAAAAGCUUCAGGAACGUAGCUCUCUUCGGGGAGUGUUAUAGCCUGUUGCAUAAUACCCUUCGGCGGGCUGA
Molecule: unclassified non-coding RNA, 1067 nt
Filed under: leaf metagenome
Description: partial contains internal transcribed spacer 1, 5.8S ribosomal RNA, internal transcribed spacer 2, and large subunit ribosomal RNA
Rfam family: Eukaryotic large subunit ribosomal RNA (bases 489-1067)
Source: RNAcentral